CUCUGCGUCCGCAUGCGAUGCAGGGCAGAAAGAG
RNAcentral lists this non-coding RNA (34 nucleotides) under unclassified sequences. The record is from RNAcentral.